GACGAACGCUGGCGGCGUGCUUAACACAUGCAAGUCGAACGGAAAGGCCCUGCGUUUGUUGGUUGCUCGAGUGGCGAACGGGUGAGUAACACGUGAGUAACCUGCCCUUAACUUUGUGAGAACUUCAGGGAACUGGGGCGAAUACCGGGUAGAAUCUCCUGCUGCAUGUUGUUGAUUGGUAAAUUUCGGCGGUUGGGGAUGUACUCGCGGCUUAUCAGCUUGUUGGUGGGGUAGUUGCUUUCCAAGGCUUUGACGGGUAGCCGGCCUGAGAGGGUGAACGGCGACAAUGGGACUGCGAUACGGAGCAGAAUGCUACGGGAGGCAGCAGUGGGGAAUCUUGCACAAUGGGGGGAAGCGUGAUGCAGCAACGCUGCGUGCGGGAUGAUGGCCUUCGGGUUGUAAACAGAUUUCGAAUGUGACGAAGCGUGAGUGACGGUAAUGGGUCAAGAAGCACCGGCUAACUACGUG
This 468-nucleotide ribosomal RNA is filed under the name uncultured bacterium. RNAcentral describes it as "partial 16S ribosomal RNA". It matches the Rfam family "Bacterial small subunit ribosomal RNA", at positions 28 to 507 of the family's 1533-position model. The record is from RNAcentral.